AUCAUUUCUGUGUUAAUGUAAUUCUCUAGAGUGCAGCCUACACAUGACUGAUAAUGACAUAAAGGAUUGUUUAUAUAAUUAUUAUUAAUUUCAUGUAAUAAUUCAGAUUAAUUUAAGUGUACUGGAAAUAGAUCAGUUUUCAAUCUGACCAUCACAGGAACUGUUAAUUACAUCACAAAACAUCCAUAUCAUUAAUAAUAAUAACAACAAACAACCAAAUUCUUUUCCACUGUGGAACAGCUUGGAUUCGACAACUUGACAACAUUUAAAUACAUUUCAGAUACAUUCUCCUCCCAUCAUCAGCAGAUAAGCAAAUCCAAGCAUCAGAGCUGGAUCUCACUCUAUUUAUAUGAUGUGAUGGUGUCUGUUAAACUUUGGAGAACAGAGAAGACUCCAGUACAAACAACACACACCAUGUUCUCUACAUCUCUACUGCUCCUGCUGGCAGCUGCUUCUUAUGUACAUGGUGAGGAACUGACUCAGCCUGCUUCCAUGACAGUCCAGCCAGGCCAGAGUCUCUCCAUCCACUGCAAGGUUUCAUAUUCAGUUACAAGCUAUCAUACAGCUUGGAUCCGACAACCUGCAGGAAAAGCUCUGGAGUGGAUUGGAUACAUCAGUAAUGGUGGGAGUACUUAUUACAGUGAGAAACUGAAAAAUAAGUUCAGCAUCUCCAGAGACACUUCUACUAACACAAUAACAAUUGGAGGACAGAACAUGCAGACUGAAGACACAGCUGUGUAUUACUGCGCUCGUCACCACAGUGAGACAGAAUAGUGGAUUCCUCUUACAAAAACCUUAUGAGACAUGUUACACACAUCCUCUCAAUGCAACUAAUAAAUCAUCUCAGUCACACAUUCACUUUCUUCUAUUGUAAUAAAGUCAUAAUAGUUUGCAGUGUUUUAAAACACAUUCACACAAAAUCUUUAUUAAAUAAAAAAUAAAACAUCAGUUUAUUCUAAACUAUUAUUAAUCCCUUCAUUUUACAGGAUUUUUAACCAACAGUUGAAUCAGUGUUUACUGAGUGGAUUCAGGAAUAAUACAGCAUGUUUCCAGCAGUGUGUUGUGUUUAACACA
Hemibagrus wyckioides is the source of this 1074-nucleotide non-coding RNA. Lineage: Eukaryota; Metazoa; Chordata; Actinopteri; Siluriformes; Bagridae. The record is from the annotation of a RefSeq genome assembly.